GACUAUCGCUAGCUCCAUUUUGUCGCUACUCCAGUCCAUAUUCUGCGCUCAUUCAUUUUAUUCUACUUCAAUCCUCCUUAUCUUGAAUUCGACACUCUGGGUUUGGUCUCUUCGGUCCGUUAGGACCAUGCUGUGAGUAGGCUUUACAUUUAUAACCGUUAAUCUUUUGGUUUAUGCUAUUAUGAGUUUUUAAUUAUAUUUAUAAAACUGUUAUUGAAGAACUUUGAUUUAAUUAGAAUAAUUGAUUUAUUAUAGCUGAAUAAUUAUUUUUAUGAAAUUCAUACUUUAGAGAUUUACAUGAGACUAUAUAUGUGUUUGAUAAAGCUUUAUAUUAAUUUAGAAUAUUGAUUUUAUUCGAAUAUAUACUUUUGAAAUAUUAAAGUAUUUGUUGGCACUCACUUUAAAAUUAUGAAAUAUGUUUUUAUGAUUGAGAAAGUAUGAUUUGAAAAGAUUUCUGAUAAAAAAAAAUAUUAUCUGAUUGAUUUGAUUCGAUACCUUAUAUAUUUGAGAGAUUGAAGAUUCAUUGUAUUUGAAACUAUAUGUUUUGAAUUGGUUUGGGAGGCUCGUAUUAGAAAACCGUAGUUAACGGCGGUUAUGACGUUAACUUAGAUGCAUCUGACUCAGACUCCAGCUAGCAGGGGUGUUGCUAGCUUAACGUGUAGGCCACAUGUUAGAUCUGUUAUUCUGUUAGGACACACAAGAGAAAAGGGCUACCCAUAGAAGUGGAGCCGCCCAUGUGUGGACUUUUGAUUUGAUUUCUGUAUGAGAACUCCCUUAUUGAUUCACUUAUUAUUAUCAACUGCUAUUUUCUAAUUUAAAUUACUUUGAUAAUAAUGUUUAUAUAGUCUCAUGUGGAUUAUAGAUGUAUUGUCUAGUCACUGAGUUGCAAAACUCACCCCUUUUUUUUAAAAAUAUUUUUCAGGAACAAAUACUUGACUAUGUGAGAUUUUCUAAUCAAGAGUCACGAUCUGCAAUGAGUAUCUAUUUUUGUCGAGUUCCUAGAUGUAUAUGCUCCAUAUGUCACAGGCAGAAUCCAUCCAUAUUUAUUUAUUUUAUCUUUUAUUAAAAAUAUGUAAUUAUUCAUUUUAGAAAUUGUAAUUUUCUAUUUCAAAUAUUUGUUAUUUU
RNAcentral lists this long non-coding RNA (1125 nucleotides) under Arachis ipaensis. RNAcentral describes it as "long non-coding RNA (AIPA_LNC002093)". The record is from RNAcentral. Lineage: Eukaryota; Viridiplantae; Streptophyta; Magnoliopsida; Fabales; Fabaceae.